Dalotia coriaria is the source of this 607-nucleotide long non-coding RNA. RefSeq lists it as uncharacterized. NCBI's taxonomy places the organism in Eukaryota, Metazoa, Arthropoda, Insecta, Coleoptera, Staphylinidae. The record is from RefSeq and is a predicted model, not a curated record. The transcript has 2 exons.
CACGUGACUGCACUCCCACUUUUCCCCCACCACUUUUUGCAGAUUUUACCCUAAUGUUAAAUCCCAUAAGAAAUUGUGCUGGAAGUCGCCUUAUUAUGCUGUCGUCGUCGUAUCAAAACUUACAUUCAAAUUAUGAGCGGGGCGUUGGCACGUUAAUUCACCACUUACCGACGCGCUACCAAAUUACAGUGUUCUACAAUAACCGACUCGCUACUCAAAAACACUUUUGACAUUCGCCGCUAGGUGGCGCUGAUGCUGAGGCGGAAUGAGGCUGAGGCAGGCUUAGAACUCUCACAUUACAUCUACUGAUGAUGAACAAGAAAAAUUGGCAUUCCAAACACCAAAGAAGCAGAUGAAAAAAGGGUGUAGGAAACUUGUUCCAGCAGGGAACAACAACCGAUAAGUAAGAAAAAAUUACAACUUAAAAGGUUAAUAUCAGUGAUUGAUCUGAGGGAAGAAGAGGAGGAUGACGGUGAAAAUCCGUCGAAGAUAGCAAAGAAGAUGAACGGUUUCGAAAAUGAUGAAGAAUAUGACGAUGAGCAAAACGAAAAGAAACAAAAAGAAUAUAGCUUGGAUGAGCUGAACUCCGUUGCUAGUCAGGCAUACC